This 506-nucleotide ribosomal RNA is filed under the name uncultured bacterium. RNAcentral's name for it is "bacterial SSU rRNA". It matches the Rfam family "Bacterial small subunit ribosomal RNA", at positions 18 to 507 of the family's 1533-position model. The record is from RNAcentral.
CAUGGCUCAGAUUGAACGCUGGCGGCGUGCUUAACACAUGCAAGUCGAACGCGAAAGGGACUUCGGUCCUGAGUAAAGUGGCGCACGGGUGAGUAACGCGUGGAUAAUCUGCCUUAUGAUUGGAAUAACAGUUGGAAACGGCUGCUAAUACCGGAUACGCUCAAAAUGAACUUUUUGAGGAAAGAUGGCCUCUGCUUGCAUGCUAUCGCAUAAGGAUGAGUCCGCGUCCCAUUAGCUUGUUGGCGGGGUAACGGCCCACCAAGGCAACGAUGGGUAGCCGAUUUGAGAGGAUGAUCGGCCACACUGGAACUGAAACACGGUCCAGACUCCUACGGGAGGCAGCAGUGGGGAAUAUUGCGCAAUGGGCGAAAGCCUGACGCAGCGACGCCGCGUGAGGGAUGAAGGUUUUCGGAUCGUAAAACCUCUGUCAGAAGGGAAGAAACUACGUUGUGCUAAUCAGCAGCGUACUGACGGUACCUUCAAAGGAAGCACCGGCUAACUCCGUG